This 489-nucleotide ribosomal RNA is filed under the name uncultured bacterium. RNAcentral's name for it is "partial 16S ribosomal RNA". It matches the Rfam family "Bacterial small subunit ribosomal RNA", at positions 28 to 507 of the family's 1533-position model. The record is from RNAcentral.
GAUGAACGCUAGCGGCAGGCUUAAUACAUGCAAGUCGAGGGGCAGCAGGACUGUAGCAAUACAGUUGCUGGCGACCGGCAAACGGGUGCGGAACACGUACGCAACCUACCCAAAACUGGGGGAUAGCCCGGGGAAAACCGGAUUAAUACCUCGUAACCUUUUUAAGUGGCAUCACUUGAUAAGUAUAGCUCCGGCGGUUUUGGAUGGGCGUGCGCCUGAUUAGGUAGUUGGUGCGGGUAACGGCCUACCAAGCCUGCGAUCAGUAACUGGUGUGAGAGCACGACCAGUCACACGGGCACUGAGACACGGGCCCGACUCCUACGGGAGGCAGCAGUAAGGAAUAUUGGUCAAUGGACGCAAGUCUGAACCAGCCAUGCCGCGUGAAGGAUGAAGGUCCUCUGGAUUGUAAACUUCUUUUAUGGCGGACGAAACCCGGAUAUUCUUAUCCGAUUGACGGUACCUCAGGAAUAAGCACCGGCUAACUCCGUG